This is an RNA transcript of Lepidothrix coronata (blue-crowned manakin), 3081 nucleotides long. It is a transcript of the gene named cytoskeleton associated protein 2 like, with no coding region annotated. Lineage: Eukaryota; Metazoa; Chordata; Aves; Passeriformes; Pipridae. The record is from RefSeq and is a predicted model, not a curated record. The transcript has 7 exons.
UUUGGGGCUUUGUGGAAGCCUUUCAGGGCAAAGGGCUGGGGGUGCUGGAGAUGCCCUCGGAGCCCAGGACACAUAGGGGGUGAGGGUGGGACAGUGUUAGGAAUGUGGGGGGCCCUGGGGACAGGGCGAUGCUGGACUCUUGCCCCAAUGCCGCAGCCAUACUGGGGAUGUCAGAGGUAUCCUCUGUCCCCCUGCUGCGAUACUCUUCAUUUUUCCCUGUUGCCUGUCUUAGAAGAGGUUUUGGCCACCACUGGGUGUAGGCCCGCAGGAUACACAGCUGCAAGGGGGUCAUGGGCAGCGUCUCCCCUUUCCCUCUGCAAACUGACUGAGCCUGGCACAGCUGAGGGCACAGCAUUACCAGACUCCCCAGGCAGAGGAGUGCAAGAGCAGCGGAGGAGCCAGCUGCCAAACUGCCGAGCAGCCAAGGAAAGCCUGAAAUGCCCGAGUGCAAAACCCUUUUUAAAGGACCGGACAAAUGACCUGAAUCCACACUUAGAACCAGUUUCUAAACUCAAGCAUGUUGACAGGAACAAGAAGGAUGUUCUCAGAAAUGUGAUGAAGAGUGCUCAGGAGGAUGGCAAGCUUAGUGCCAAAUCCACACAGCACACUGGCCACGCUAGUCAGCAGAAGCCUUCAAACACAUCCCAGAGAGCAGUGGGGGUGCAUCCAGUGCAGCCAGGGAAGAGCACAAAGCUUCCUGCUUCUGCACAGACCAGAGGCAGGCUCCCACCUCCAGGCUCUGGUCACCUAAAUCUGGAAAGGAAGAAGAAGUCUGCACAGGACACUAUCACUGCUGCAGCACUUUGUGUGGGAAGUGACCACUCCCCCCCUGGAGCGCCUUGGUCCCUGAAUGAGGAGCUGCAGGAUGGGCUGGUCUGUCACAAGGAAAACCUCAGCCCAAGAGCCUCCACACUCCCAGAGCUAAACAGAGAUUUCCAAUUUGAUGGAAGCAGUCUUGGGAAGAAGAGAGUCUUGGCUUACGAGCAAAGCUCAGCUGUAAUGUCAAGGCCCGUUGUGGGCCCAGAGGACAAAAUUAAUAACCGCCAGGCUAAGAAAGACCCAGUUCCAGAUAAAUUCAGGAAAAUCCUGCCAGGCUCAAAGAGCAUGUCUCAAAAAACAAGUGUCAGAACUCAGCCAUUGCAGCCCCCUAGGUACCUUCCUGCUUCUGCUAAUUUGCUACAUAGAAAAAUAGGGACAAACCAGGAAAAAACUACUACAGUGAGGCAACCUGUGGGAAAGCCACCUGGCACAGCUCCAGUGGGAGUUUUUAAGCACCAAUUUCAACCUCCCCCAAUGAGAAGUUCUCCCACUAAGCCUCUGGCCUCAGGCAGGCCUCAGGGGACAACAAACCUGAAAUCCAGCCUGAACCGAGGUGGCACCAUGCCACAGCCAAGGCCCAUGAGUAAAGGGGGGACGGACAGGAAGGACAUGAACGUGGUGCGUCCCAGACACACAGCAACAUCCCGAGGGAUAGACCACGCAAACCAGCCUCCCAGCACACACUGCUCCAAAACUCAUGCACUUGAGGGUAAUUUGAGGAGUAGGAAAGAUCAGCUUAAACCGGAGCUGCCGAAGGCAAUCGUGCAGUAUGGGCGUGUUCCCAGGAUCCCAUCAGCUGCGGAUCGUAAGAAACAGCUGGAGGAGUGGCUGGCAUCGAAAGGCAAGAAAUACAAGCGGCCGCCGAUGACACUGCUUCAGAAGCAGGCAGUGAAGCCGCCCUGCAGAAAGGUCAAGGCGAAAGAGAAGCAAGAGAAUCCAGAGCAGCACUGCCUGGUGAAGAUCAACAACAUAUUAACUGAGUGCCUGAACUUUGUUGAGGAGGUGGGAAUGGGAAAGAGGCUGCUUGAACAGGCUCCUCCUCCCCUGGAGCAUCCCAGGGGAUGCAGACCAUGUACCUUCACAGCACAGAGGGGUUGGGAGCAAGCAUUCAGUUGCUAGAAGGGAAACAUGGGUAGGGAAGAUAAAAGUCCUCACGGAGUUAUGGGUAGGUCAAAGGCACAUGGUGAGCUACACUGACAGGGAAAAUGGAGAGGUACCCCAUCAAAACGGACUGUUGUGGUUUAACCCCAGCCAGCAGCCAAGCCCCUCGCAGCCACUCACUCAUUCCCCCACCAGUGGGAUCAGAAAGAGAAUCGGAAGGGUAAAAGUUACAGAACUUGUGGAUUGAGAUAAAGACAGUUUAACAGGGAAAGUGAAAGCCAUGCACACAAGCGAAGCGAAACAAGGAAUUUAUUCCCUUCUUCCCAUGGGCAGAUUCAGCCACCUCCAGGAGAGCAGGGCCCCGUCACACAUAAUGGGGACUUGGGAAGACAGACAACAUCACUCUAAAUGUCCCCCCACUUUAUAUACUGAGCAUAUAGUCUGGAAUAUCCCUUUGGUUAGUUUGGGUCACCUGUCCCAGCUGUGUCUCUUCCCAAUCUCCCACGUGCCCCGAGCUCCCCAGCGAGGCAGUAUGAGAAACAGAAAAGGCCUUGGUUCUGUGUAAGUCUUGCUCAGCAAUAACAAAGACAUCUUUAUCAUCACUGUGUUCAGCACAAAUCCCAAACAGAGCCUCAUACCAACCGCUGGGAAGGAAAUUAACUCUACCCCAGCCAAAAGCAGUGUGGGACUCACAUGUGUAACUGACGGUGUUCUGGAAACUGGCAGUGCAGUCUGCAAAAGCAAUGUCUGCAACAGAAACCCAGGCUGAUUGAACCAGCUUGAAGUAGAUCCCUGUUGGUGUCACAGUCUGAGGUACGGCUCUGGUGGGGGACUGUUGCUGGGAACACUGCCUGCUAGCUCUGCUCCAGGAUUUAGUGGCUCAAAUAAUGCCAGCACUGGAGUCUAUCCCUUGACAGCUCUUUGGAGUACUAGACUCAUUUAUCCAAGGAGAAGAUAGAGGGAGGACAGCCCGUUGUUACGUAGGAGACUUGUAAACCCAGACUCCUGAGACCUUCUUUCUCCUGAAGAGUGCUGGAAGCACAGUCAGGGUGUCCAUGCAGAGGAGCUAUCAAAAGUGCUGUCUGUUGUGCCCCAGGCAGAGAAAUUUGCCAAAUUCUGGAUCUGCCAAGCAAAGCUGCUGGCCCGGAGUGGCCCCUUUGA